This is a non-coding RNA of Paenibacillus sp. Soil787, 166 nucleotides long. NCBI's taxonomy places the organism in Bacteria, Bacillati, Bacillota, Bacilli, Caryophanales, Paenibacillaceae. The record is from Rfam.
UCCAUCGCGAGGUGGAAUCUGAAGGAAGCUGGAGGCAAAAUUCCGACCCGAGGAACACGAACGUCAUCAGGAGGAAACCGUGAGCAGAGACAACAUGAACCAAGCGUUCAAAAGAGUCAAAGCGAACAAAGGCACUCACGGGAUCGAUGGGAUGAAAGUAGAUGAA